RNAcentral lists this ribosomal RNA (194 nucleotides) under uncultured bacterium. RNAcentral's name for it is "partial 16S ribosomal RNA". It matches the Rfam family "Bacterial small subunit ribosomal RNA", at positions 338 to 524 of the family's 1533-position model. The record is from RNAcentral.
CCUACGGGAGGCAGCAGUGGGGAAUUUUGGACAAUGGGGGAAACCCUGAUCCAGCAAUGCCGCGUGUGUGAAGAAGGCCUUCGGGUUGUAAAGCACUUUUGUCAGGAACGAAACGGUGGGGGCUAAUACCUCCUGCUAAUGACGGUACCUGAAGAAUAAGCACCGGCUAACUACGUGCCAGCAGCCGCGGUAAU